UGAUUGUCCAAACGCAAGCUCAG
RNAcentral lists this microRNA (23 nucleotides) under Ciona intestinalis (vase tunicate). RNAcentral's name for it is "cin-miR-219-5p". Its record names the gene cin-miR-219-5p. Lineage: Eukaryota; Metazoa; Chordata; Ascidiacea; Phlebobranchia; Cionidae. The record is from miRBase by way of RNAcentral.